CAAUAGCGUAUAUUUAAGUUGUUGCAGUUAAAAAGCUCGUAGUUGGAUUUCGGGUGGGACGCAGCGGUCUCGCAUUGCGUUUGUACUGCUGCAGCCCUCCUUCUUGCCGGGGGCGGCCUCUCGGACUUCACUGUCUGGGGGUCAGAAUCGGCGAUGUUACUUUGAGUAAAUUAGAGUGUUCAAAGCAAGCUUACGCUCUGAAUAUAAUAGCAUGGGAUAACACGACAGGACUCUGGCCUAUCGUGUUGGUCUAUAGGACCAGAGUAAUGAUUAAGAGGGACAGUCGGGGGCAUUCGUAUUCCGUUGUCAGAGGUGAAAUUCUUGGAUUUACGGAAGACGAACAUCUGCGAAAGCAUUUGCCAAGGAUGUGUUCAUUGA
Molecule: ribosomal RNA, 378 nt
Filed under: uncultured eukaryote
Lineage: Eukaryota
Description: partial 18S ribosomal RNA
Rfam family: Eukaryotic small subunit ribosomal RNA
Source: RNAcentral